GACGAACGCUGGCGGCGUGCCUAAUACAUGCAAGUAGAACGCUGAAGGAGGAGCUUGCUCUUCUGGAUGAGUUGCGAACGGGUGAGUAACGCGUAGGUAACCUGCCUGGUAGCGGGGGAUAACUAUUGGAAACGAUAGCUAAUACCGCAUAAUAGUAGAUGUUGCAUGACAUUUGCUUAAAAGGUGCAAUUGCAUCACUACCAGAUGGACCUGCGUUGUAUUAGCUAGUUGGUGAGGUAACGGCUCACCAAGGCAACGAUACAUAGCCGACCUGAGAGGGUGAUCGGCCACACUGGGACUGAGACACGGCCCAGACUCCUACGGGAGGCAGCAGUAGGGAAUCUUCGGCAAUGGACGGAAGUCUGACCGAGCAACGCCGCGUGAGUGAAGAAGGUUUUCGGAUCGUAAAGCUCUGUUGUAAGAGAAGAACGAGUGUGAGAGUGGAAAGUUCACACUGUGAC
This 461-nucleotide ribosomal RNA is filed under the name Streptococcus sp. oral taxon 064. RNAcentral's name for it is "bacterial SSU rRNA". It matches the Rfam family "Bacterial small subunit ribosomal RNA", at positions 28 to 473 of the family's 1533-position model. Lineage: Bacteria; Bacillati; Bacillota; Bacilli; Lactobacillales; Streptococcaceae. The record is from RNAcentral.